GCGGGCGGCUGUGCUGGGCAGGGUGCAGCCGCGCUGCCGGCCGGCAGUGGCCAUGGGCUGAGUGUCUUGAGUGGGCAAAGGGACCGUGUGUUGUGAUGGAGCCGGGUCAAUGUGCUGGUCCUAGAGGAGACCUGGGAGAAGGGGGAGGAGAAGCAGGAGGUGAGCCAGGCCCUGCUGCCCAGGACGCUGGGCGGUGGCACAGGGCGCGGGGUUAAUGCUGGGGGCCGAGGGAAUUAAGAGCACGUGGAGGGGGCAGCGCCAUGGCUGUGCCACAGGCAUGGGGGCAAGGGAGAGAUCCAGCAGCAGAUUCCUUGUUGAGGUGCAGGCGGGACGGAGUGAGUUGGUGGCAGAAGGAGGGGACAGGGCCUCACCCGCUGCCAAGGGCAGGAAGAGCCAAAAGCAAAAUGGCAUCCACUGCACGGUAAUGAGAACGGCCCUGGUUGUAACCCAGGGUACGUGGCAAGGUGUGAGUGUUCGGGGGAGAGACUUUUUCAGGCCAUCCCAGCUCCUGCUGCAGCAAACUGACAGGUCAAAUAAAAACAAGCAGGAUUUUAACAAGGUUUGUGGAGCCCUCCUCCACAGCCGGGCAGGUCGCUGUGCUUUGCUGAGGAGACAAGACAAGGCUUGCUCUGGGGAUAAGCGAGUGUUUACUUUCUCAAGAACCCAUAUACACACCUUAGAGCUUUGCGAAAUGUCAAUUUUUGGAAGCCCUGCGAGUCAGCCACCCCGAGCGUGGUGCUGCAGGGUGGGUGGGUCACAGAGCCCCAGCAAGGGUCUGCUGCCAGGAUAACCACGGGAGAACGAACGGAACUGCUGAGUGUGGGACGCUGCAGGGACUCCGUAAAAUUAUACAUGAAACCUCAGCAAUUCUUCUGACCCCUUGAAUAAAUGAAGACAGACACCGUCCUUCACUGCAGAGCUUGGGUUUGUGGCACAGACAGCUCCACUGUGGGGAGGGUCACCUGGGCCUGGGGCAGCUCGCCUGCUGGAUUGGCAGUAAUCUCGGUUUUGUGCUAACCCAAAGACCCGCUCUGUGAACCUCCUCUGUGCCCACGGCUGACUCGGGAGCUGGAGCUGGCGUGAGCGGCAGCAGAGAAGUGGAUGGUGAUGAUCACUCCCUUGGGUAUCCUGCUCCCAUCACAUAUGAAGAGGAAGAGGCAGAGUAAGAGGGAACAAAGGCUGGGAGCUGAGGACAGACAAACCUGCUUGUUACAGUGAGGAAUAAAUUAACCAGCCUCCAUCCAGAAGGCAUAUUUGCAGCCCUUUAAAGAUGCAAAGCAGGAACAGAAUGGAAGAAAGAAAAUGUGUCACUCAUUUGUAAAAGUAGCAGGUUGUGAAAAGCUACUGCUUGUAAAUUUGCACAACAGCCACACACUGGUAAGUAACAGAUAUACACAGACCAUGUGUGUAAAGAUGGCGAUUAAUUGGCCAUACCAAAGAUAUAUAGAAAAUUUAAAGUACCCACAGUAGCUCUGAAGUGGUUCAAUUUCUGUAUGUGUGUAGGUGUGUAUAUAUGUUGCAGCUGAGUGAGACCCAAGACACAGACCUCAUUUGCUUCACGUCCAGUGGUGCAGGACGAGUGGUAAAUGAUACAAAAGCCUUGAAGAACUCCUUUCUCUGGUGCUCAGCCCCUGCGGAAGGUCCCUCCUGUACCUCCGGAGCCCAUGGCCAGCCAGGCUCCAGGUGCAGACAGGCCGUGCUGCUGCCAGCCCCUCGCCCCAUGUUCUGGCACCGGAGCUGGUGACAGCACGAGCUGAUGGCUCUGCCUGUCCUGGGCUGGAGCGGCAGCUCCGGGGCAGCACAGCUCAGACCCACCUGAGCAGCUGGGGCACACCUGAGUGGUGGCUCAGACCCACCUGAGCUGCUGGGGCACACCUGAGUGGUGGCUCGGACACACUUGAGCUGCUGGGGCACACCUGAGUGGUGGCUCGGACACACCUGAGCUGCUGGGGCACACCUGAGUGGUGGCUCGGACACACCUGAGCUGCUGGGGCACACCUGAGUGGUGGCUCGGACACACCUGAGCUGCUCAGUCACACCUGAGCGGCUGCCUGGGCACAAACCCAGCUUUGAGCUCCAGCCCAGCGCUG
This is a long non-coding RNA of Columba livia (rock pigeon), 2090 nucleotides long. RefSeq lists it as uncharacterized. The transcript is spliced from 3 exons. NCBI's taxonomy places the organism in Eukaryota, Metazoa, Chordata, Aves, Columbiformes, Columbidae. The record is from RefSeq and is a predicted model, not a curated record.